Molecule: ribosomal RNA, 776 nt
Filed under: uncultured Neocallimastigales
Lineage: Eukaryota; Fungi; Neocallimastigomycota; Neocallimastigomycetes; Neocallimastigales
Description: partial large subunit ribosomal RNA
Rfam family: Eukaryotic large subunit ribosomal RNA
Source: RNAcentral
UAGAUGCGAGAGUAGAGCAUAUCAAUAAGCGGAGGAAAAGAAACUAACAAGGAUUCCCUUAGUAACGGCGAGUGAAGCGGGAAGAGCUCAAAUUUGAAAUCUUCAAGGUUUACCUUGACGAAUUGUAGUUUAUAGAAGUGUUUUCUGUUAGUAGAGUUUGGUAAAAGUUCUUUGGAAUAGGACAUCAUAGAGGGUGAGAAUCCCGUAUUUGACCGUUACUUUCUAGCCUUGUGAUACACUUUCAAAGAGUCGGAUUGUUUGGGAAUGCAGUCCAAAAUGGGUGGUAAAUUUCAUCUAAAGCUAAAUAUUGGCGAGAGACCGAUAGCGAACAAGUACCGUGAGGGAAAGAUGAAAAGAACUUUGAAAAGAGAGUUAAACAGUACGUGAAAUUGUCAAAAGGGAAGCGUUUGACACCAGUGUUGUUUAGUUGAAAAUCAAUUCAAUAAUUUUUGAUUUUAAGUAGUAUUGACUUCAUCAGCUUGCUGCUUUCUUUUCAGGAAUUAUUGAAUGCACUUUUCAGUUAACAAGUCAACAUCAAUUUCUUUUGUUGUAAAAGGGUAAGAGGAAGGUGGCUUACGCUUCGGCGUAAGUGUUUAUAGCCUUUUACCUCUGCAAUCGGAGAGAUUGAGGACAGCAGCGUAGACUCUUCGGGGUUAGAUACACUUGUGCUAAGCUAUAGCCUUGUAUAGACAACUUGUUGACUAUGCUCAGUCAUGUAGCUUACUCGCUUGUGCUAUUUUACCUACGCUUAGGAUGUUGACACACGCGCGUGCUCG